RNAcentral lists this transfer RNA (85 nucleotides) under Felis catus (domestic cat). It matches the Rfam family "tRNA". Rfam says of the family: Transfer RNA (tRNA) molecules are approximately 80 nucleotides in length. Their secondary structure includes four short double-helical elements and three loops (D, anti-codon, and T loops). Lineage: Eukaryota; Metazoa; Chordata; Mammalia; Carnivora; Felidae. RNAcentral also lists the same sequence under 2 other names. The record is from Rfam by way of RNAcentral.
GCCUGAGUGGCUCAGUCAGUUGAGUGUCUGACUUCAGCUCAGGUCAUGAUCAAGCGGUUUGUGAGUUCGAGUCCCACGUCGGGCU